This 253-nucleotide ribosomal RNA is filed under the name uncultured bacterium. RNAcentral describes it as "partial 16S ribosomal RNA". It matches the Rfam family "Bacterial small subunit ribosomal RNA", at positions 524 to 776 of the family's 1533-position model. The record is from RNAcentral.
UACGGAGGGUGCGAGCGUUGUUCGGAAUCACUGGGCGUAAAGCGCGUGUAGGCGGCCUUGUAAGUCUGGUGUGAAAGCCCGGGGCUUACCCCCGGAAGUGCACUGGAAACUGCAAGGCUUGAGUACCGGAGAGGAAGGUGGAAUUCCUGGUGUAGCGGUGAAAUGCGUAGAUAUCGGGAGGAACACCUGUGGCGAAGGCGGCUUCCUGGACUGCAACUGACGCUGAGGCGCGAAAGCUAGGGGAGCAAACAGG